GAUGAACGCUGGCGGCGUGCUUAACACAUGCGAGUCGAACGGAAAGGCUCCUGCUUGCAGGGGUACUCGAGUGGCGAACGGGUGAGUAACACGUGGGUGAUCUGCCCUGCACUUCGGGAUAAGCCUGGGAAACUGGGUCUAAUACCGGAUAGGACCACAUUUUGGAUGGUGUGGUGGAAAGUUUUUCGGUGUGGGAUGAGCUCGCGGCCUAUCAGCUUGUUGGUGGGGUAAUGGCCUACCAAGGCGUCGACGGGUAGCCGGCCUGAGAGGGUGUACGGCCACAUUGGGACUGAGAUACGGCCCAGACUCCUACGGGAGGCAGCAGUGGGGAAUAUUGCACAAUGGGCGCAAGCCUGAUGCAGCGACGCCGCGUGGGGGAUGACGGCCUUCGGGUUGUAAACUCCUUUCGCUAGGGACGAAGCGCAAGGGACGGUACCUGGAGAAGAAGCACCGGCUAACUACGU
RNAcentral lists this ribosomal RNA (464 nucleotides) under uncultured bacterium. RNAcentral describes it as "partial 16S ribosomal RNA". It matches the Rfam family "Bacterial small subunit ribosomal RNA", at positions 28 to 506 of the family's 1533-position model. The record is from RNAcentral.